This 500-nucleotide ribosomal RNA is filed under the name uncultured bacterium. Its description in RNAcentral is "partial 16S ribosomal RNA". It matches the Rfam family "Bacterial small subunit ribosomal RNA", at positions 30 to 523 of the family's 1533-position model. The record is from RNAcentral.
AUUGAACGCUGGCGGAAUGCUUUACACAUGCAAGUCGAACGGCAGCACGGACUUCGGUCUGGUGGCGAGUGGCGAACGGGUGAGUAAUGUAUCGGAACGUGCCCAGUCGUGGGGGAUAACGUAGUGAAAAUUACGCUAAUACCGCAUACGAUCUAUGGAUGAAAGCGGGGGAUCGCAAGACCUCGCGCGAUUGGAGCGGCCGAGAUCAGAUUAGGGAGUUGGUGGGGUAAAGGCCCACCAAGCCAACGAUCUGUAGCUGGUUUGAGAGGACGACCCGGCACACUGGAACUGUGACACGGGCCAGACUCCGACGGGAGGCAGCAGUGGGGAAUUUUGGACAAUGGGCGAAAGCCUGAUCCAGCCAGUCCGCGUGCAGGAUGAAGGCCCUCGGGUUGUAAACUGCUUUUGUACAGAACGAAAAGGUUUCUACUAAUACUAGGAGCUCAUGACGGUACUGUAAGAAUAAGCACCGGCUAACUACGUGCCAGCCGCCGCCGUAA